CUGCCCAAGAGACUGGGAUAACACCUGGAAACAGAUGCUAAUACCGGAUAACAACACUAGACGCAUGUCUAGAGUUUGAAAGAUGGUUCUGCUAUCACUCUUGGAUGGACCUGCGGUGCAUUAGCUAGUUGGUAAGGUAACGGCUUACCAAGGCAAUGAUGCAUAGCCGAGUUGAGAGACUGAUCGGCCACAUUGGGACUGAGACACGGCCCAAACUCCUACGGGAGGCAGCAGUAGGGAAUCUUCCACAAUGGACGAAAGUCUGAUGGAGCAACGCCGCGUGAGUGAAGAAGGGUUUCGGCUCGUAAAGCUCUGUUGGUAGUGAAGAAAGAUAGAGGUAGUAACUGGCCUUUAUUUGACGGUAAUUACUUAGAAAGUCACGGCUAACUACGUGCCAGCAGCCGCGGUAAUACGUAGGUGGCAAGCGUUGUCCGGAUUUAUUGGGCGUAAAGCGAGUGCAGGCGGUUCAAUAAGUCUGAUGUGAAAGCCUUCGGCUCAACCGGAGAAUUGCAUCACAAACUGUUGAACUUGAGUGCAGAAGAGGAGAGUGGAACUCCAUGUG
RNAcentral lists this ribosomal RNA (562 nucleotides) under uncultured bacterium. RNAcentral describes it as "bacterial SSU rRNA". It matches the Rfam family "Bacterial small subunit ribosomal RNA", at positions 126 to 675 of the family's 1533-position model. The record is from RNAcentral.